This 497-nucleotide ribosomal RNA is filed under the name uncultured bacterium. RNAcentral's name for it is "partial 16S ribosomal RNA". It matches the Rfam family "Bacterial small subunit ribosomal RNA", at positions 28 to 507 of the family's 1533-position model. The record is from RNAcentral.
GAUGAACGCUGGCGGCGUGCCUAAUACAUGCAAGUCGAGCGAACAGAUAAGGAGCUUGCUCCUUUGACGUUAGCGGCGGACGGGUGAGUAACACGUGGGUAACCUACCUAUAAGACUGGGAUAACUUCGGGAACCCGGAGCUAAUACCGGAUAAUAUUUCGAACCGCAUGGUUCGAUAGUGAAAGAUGGUUUUGCUAUCACUUAUAGAUGGACCCGGGCCGUAUUAGCUAGUUGGUAAGGUAACGGCUUACCAAGGCGACGAUACGUAGCCGACCUGAGAGGGUGAUCGGCCACACUGGAACUGAGACACGGUCCAGACUCCUACGGGAGGCAGCAGUAGGGAAUCUUCGACAAUGGGCGAAAGCCUGACGGAGCAACGCCGCGUGAGUGAUGAAGGUCUUCGGAUCGUAAAACUCUGUUAUUAGGGAAGAACAUAAGUGUAAGUAACUGUGCAUGUCUUGACGGUACCUAAUCAGAAAGCCACGGCUAACUACGUG